GUGGGGAAUAUUGCGCAAUGGGGGAAACCCUGACGCAGCGACGCCGUGUGAGGGAAGAAGGCUUUCGGGUCGUAAACCUCUGUCAGAAAGGAAGAACCUCCCAAGUCCGAAUAGGGCUUGGGACUGACGGUACUUUCAAAGGAAGCACCGGCUAACUCCGUGCCAGCAGCCGCGGUAAUACGGAGGGUGCAAGCGUUAAUCGGAAUCACUGGGCGUAAAGCGCGCGUAGGCCGCUUUGUAAGUCGGACGUGAAAGACCUCGGCUCAACCGGGGAACUGCGUUCGAUACUGCGAGGCUUGAGUCCUGGAGAGGGUGGCGGAAUUCCGGGUGUAGGAGUGAAAUCCGUAGAUAUCCGGAGGAACACCGGUGGCGAAGGCGGCCACCUGGACAGGUACUGACGCUGAGGCGCGAAAGCGUGGGGAGCAAACAGGAUUAGAAACCCCUGUAGUCC
RNAcentral lists this ribosomal RNA (451 nucleotides) under uncultured bacterium. RNAcentral describes it as "partial 16S ribosomal RNA". It matches the Rfam family "Bacterial small subunit ribosomal RNA", at positions 354 to 796 of the family's 1533-position model. The record is from RNAcentral.